UGUCCUACGGGGGGCAGCAGUGAGGAAUAUUGGUCAAUGGACGCAAGUCUGAACCAGCCAUGCCGCGCGCAGGAAGACGGCUCUAUGAGUUGUAAACUGCUUUUGUACGAGGGUAAACGCAGAUACGCGUAUCCGUCUGAAAGUAUCGUACGAAUAAGGAUCGGCUAACUACGUGCCAGCAGCCGCGGUAAUACGGAGGAUGCGAGCGUUAUCCGGAUUUAUUGGGUUUAAAGGGUGCGUAGGCGGACUGUCAAGUCAGCGGUAAAAUACGGGGGCUCAACCUCCGCCCGCCGUUGAAACUGACG
This 305-nucleotide ribosomal RNA is filed under the name uncultured bacterium. RNAcentral's name for it is "bacterial SSU rRNA". It matches the Rfam family "Bacterial small subunit ribosomal RNA", at positions 335 to 638 of the family's 1533-position model. The record is from RNAcentral.